GACGAACGCUGGCGGCGUGCCUAAUACAUGCAAGUCGAACGCAGUUGCGAACGGGUGAGUAACGCGUAGGUAACUGCCUCAUAGCGGGGGAUAACUAUUGGAAACGAUAGCUAAUACCGCAUACUGUGAGAUGGACCUGGGUUGUAUUAGCUAGUUGGUGAGGUAAAGGCUCACCAAGGCGACGAUACAUAGCCGACCUGAGAGGAUGACGGGCCACACGGGGACGGAGACCAGGCCAAGAUCCCACGGGGGGGCAGCGGUGGGGAUUAUUGGACAUGGGGGGAAGUCCGGAUGAACACAGCCGGGGUGGUGAAGGAAGGUUUGAGGGCGGAAAGCUAUGUUGAGAGGGGAGCGGUAACCACACAAAAAGGAACGGCUAACUCCGUGCCAGCAGCCGCGGUAAUUC
RNAcentral lists this ribosomal RNA (406 nucleotides) under uncultured bacterium. RNAcentral describes it as "partial 16S ribosomal RNA". It matches the Rfam family "Bacterial small subunit ribosomal RNA", at positions 28 to 526 of the family's 1533-position model. The record is from RNAcentral.